Molecule: ribosomal RNA, 253 nt
Filed under: uncultured bacterium
Lineage: Bacteria
Description: partial 16S ribosomal RNA
Rfam family: Bacterial small subunit ribosomal RNA
Source: RNAcentral
UACAGAGGUCUCAAGCGUUGUUCGGAUUCAUUGGGCGUAAAGGGUGCGUAGGCGGCGCGGUAAGUCGGGUGUGAAAUCUCGGGGCUUAACUCCGAAACUGCAUUCGAUACUGCCGUGCUUGAGGACUGGAGAGGAGACUGGAAUUUACGGUGUAGCAGUGAAAUGCGUAGAUAUCGUAAGGAAGACCAGUGGCGAAGGCGAGUCUCUGGACAGUUACCGACGCUGAGGCACGAAGGUCAGGGGAGCAAACGGG